RNAcentral lists this ribosomal RNA (372 nucleotides) under uncultured bacterium. RNAcentral describes it as "bacterial SSU rRNA". It matches the Rfam family "Bacterial small subunit ribosomal RNA", at positions 525 to 896 of the family's 1533-position model. The record is from RNAcentral.
ACGAAGGGGGCUAGCGUUGCUCGGAAUGACUGGGCGUAAAGGGCGCGUAGGCUGUUUGGAUCGUUAGGCGUGAAAUUCCUGGGCUCAACCUGGGGGCUGCGCUUAAUACAUUCAGACUGGAGUGUGAGAGAGGGUUGUGGAAUUCCCAGUGUAGAGGUGAAAUUCGUAGAUAUUGGGAAGAACACCGGUGGCGAAGGCGGCAACCUGGCUCAUUACUGACGCUGAGGCGCGAAAGCGUGGGGAGCAAACAGGAUUAGAUACCCUGGUAGUCCACGCUGUAAACGAUGUGUGCUGGAUGUUGGGUGACCUAGUCACUCAGUGUCGUAGCUAACGCGGUAAGCACACCGCCUGGGGAGUACGGCCGCAAGGUUG